RNAcentral lists this ribosomal RNA (530 nucleotides) under Cymo melanodactylus. RNAcentral describes it as "partial 16S ribosomal RNA". It matches the Rfam family "Bacterial large subunit ribosomal RNA", at positions 1810 to 2603 of the family's 2925-position model. Lineage: Eukaryota; Metazoa; Arthropoda; Malacostraca; Decapoda; Xanthidae. The record is from RNAcentral.
AAAACAUGUCCCAUUUGAAGGUAUAAAUGGUCUGGCCUGCUCACUGAUAAAGUUAUUUAAGAGCCGCGGUAUAUUGACCGUGCAAAGGUAGCAUAAUAAUUAGGGAUUUAAUUGGGACCUAGUAUGAAGGGUUGGACAAAGGAGGAACUGUCUUUAUAAUAAAGUUUGAAAUUUACUUUUAAGUGAAAAGGCUUAAAUAGAUCAAAGGGACGAUAAGACCCUAUAAAGCUUUAUGAAUUGUUUAAAUUUAAUUGAUUUAAAAAUAAAAAUUAGGUUUGAUUAUUUUAUUUCGUUGGGGCGAUGUGAGUAUAAUUGUGACUAACUGCUUAAGGAGAAUACUAUUAUAAUAGAAUACAAAAUAUGAUCCUUUAUAAAGAUUAAAAGACUAAGUUACUUUAGGGAUAACAGCGUUAUUUCUUUUGAGAGUUCAUAUCGAAAAAGAAGGUUGCGACCUCGAUGUUGAAUUAAAAUGUCUAUAUAAUGUAGCCGUUAUAUAAGAGGGUCUGUUCGACCUUUAAAUUUUUACGUGA